AGUAAUAUUUUAAAUAACUAUAGGUUCAUAUUGCUGGUUGAUUCUGUAAGUUACAAAAAUGUAAAAAGAAAAGAUUGUUUAAUACUAAUUAAAAUGAAUCUAUAUACUAUAUUUUUUUUAUUGACCAAAAACCUUAUGUUAGCUGUAUGACCUUUUGGCAGAGUAUAAAUGACUGAGAGUUGAAGUGGCCAUAGCUCGCCAGCAAAUCGCAUUUUAAUAGCUGCCAUGGUCAGCGUUUCUUUCCUUUUCGCCGUACCCUUUGGCCCCUUAAGUGUGAAAUUUAACCAGCUACCAGGAACCAAGAAGACUCAACGCAAACCGAACCUGAAAACGAUCAGGAAAAAUUAGGAAAACAAAGGAAAAACCCUCUGCGUGGCUGUCAGUGCAGUGCAGUGGCUCAUAAUGACUUGAUGCGGCCAAGCUGAAACUGAUUUAAUUAUCGGAUAGGAAAUGCUAUUUGGCCAUAGCUGUCGAUAUCAUUAGAUGCGGAUAGCUUGUUCUAUUGCGCAGACAGUUUAUAAAGUGUGGAAUGAAAUGUACUAUAAAUUUAUUACAGAAGAUAAAUAUUACUCAACAAGCCUUGUUUUUAUUUUGAAGUUUCCCUGUUUUGAGGUCGAUUAUUAUCCCUUUUAUUUUUUGGAGCCUUUUUUUUUAACCGCAUUGCAGCUCAUUAUCAUUUGACAGCUCACCUUUUGCAUCUACUGACCGCUUGUCAUAUUAAAUCGAAUAAUAGCUCGCACCUCAACACCGAUGGCCAUAAAGCAGUUAAAACCGAAGAAGGAAACGCAGUUACAUGAAAUGUGUCGACUUGCUGUGGUGGCUGUAAAAAAAAAAAAUUGUAAGCAAUUUGCACGCGAGGCGAUAAAAAUCAUCUUAAACGCGCGAUUAAUGUCAAUUUUAUCAAUAAAAUUAUAAAUAAAGACAUGAAAACGAGCCGAGUGCGAGAUAAGCGCGAAUGAAAUGCGAACUCAAGUCACAACAACCAGACACUGAGACACCACCAACAACAACAAACACAACAACCACAACAACAACAACAACCAUAACAACAACAACAACACUGAGUGCAACAACAAAUGCGAUAAGAACAGCAACAACAAACACAAACGCCAAAACAGCAGGCAAAUUAUGGAGUGUGUGGCACAGGCUCACGUUCCAUGGGGCAGCAUACGAAUGGCAAUGAAAUCGCACUUUAAAAUACCCUACAAAUAUUUUAUUUUAUAAUUAGUAACUUAAACUAUAAUAUACAUAUGACUAUGAUGAGAAAAUAUAGUUGGUUUGGUUAUGAGACAUAUAGAUAUUGUAACUAUGCUAAGCAUGAUUUAUAUAUGAUACACUAAGUACUCUUCAUAAAGAAAUGCUGUGAUUAAAAUAUUUCGAAAAUUUAUAAAUUUUUAAAUGGUAAAAUGGUAAUAAAAUGAGCCUGUAAAUUGCCAGAAA
Molecule: long non-coding RNA, 1440 nt
Organism: Drosophila yakuba
Lineage: Eukaryota; Metazoa; Arthropoda; Insecta; Diptera; Drosophilidae
Exons: 2
Source: RefSeq, a predicted model, not a curated record